Molecule: long non-coding RNA, 2210 nt
Organism: Bubalus bubalis (water buffalo)
Lineage: Eukaryota; Metazoa; Chordata; Mammalia; Artiodactyla; Bovidae
Exons: 5
Source: RefSeq, a predicted model, not a curated record
CUCAAACUGCUCUGCUCACUCUCCUCCUUCCCUCUGCCUUCUGAGACACAGGGAGGAUAAGUCACUUGGUCACAGCAAGUUAGAACCACUUGGACUCAAGAGGAGACUUCCAGGCUGGAAGCCCUUACACUUCACCCCUGUGACAGAAGAUGAUGUGAUGACAAAGCAGAACAGAAAGAAACUGGAAGAUGCUACGCUGCUCCCUUUGGAGAUGGAAGACAGAGUCAUGGGCCAGGACAUGCAGGAAAAGGCGAGGAAACAUUCUCCCCUGGAGCCUCUCAAAGGAACCAGCACCUUGACUCUAGCCCAGGGAAACUGACUUUGGAUUUCUGGCCUCUAGAACUGAAAGAGAACACAUUGGUGUUGAGCUAAGCCACUGCAUUUAUGGUGGUUUGUUACAGCAGCCACAGGAAAUGAAUGCAAUACUGAAUCAGUUCAUCCCUGACCAAUGGCUCAAUAGCUGUGGUUCAGGACAGCUGACACCUGGCAGGCGCUUCACCAAGCCCUGGGCCAACUGCAACCCAUCACUGGGGACACCUGGGGCCGGGAGCACAGAGAAGGAUCAGGGAAGACCCCCUGAGCUUGAGCACACUUCAGCAUAGGCUGGGAGGAAAGGGCAAGAAAUGGUGCCAAACAAGGAGCCAGCGAGUGCAGACGCCAGGAGGUGACAGAAAGCUCAGUCAUCUGAAGAACUGAAAUGAUUCAGCGUGGCCAGACUUUGAGGGAGAAACGGUAGAAGCCCCGUGGUGUGGUGGGUCGGAGGGUGGGCUCCGUGGGUGCCUGGGCGUGAGGCCGUGCCUUGCUGUCUCCCGAGUGUGUGAUUUGGGCAAGUAACUUGACCUCUCUGUGCCUAGUUUCCUCACCUGCCUGAUGGUAUUUUAUGUGUCUGUUUAUCUUCAUUUAUUUAAAAAGUUUUAUAAUUUUUAUACAAAUUUUAAAGGCUACUUUCCAUUUACAGUUACUACAAAAUAUUGGCUUUAUUCCCUGCAUUAUACAGUAUAUCCCUGAGCCCAUUUUACUGUCGGUCAUUUCUACAGCGUCCCCCACCCGCAACCUGAUGGUGUUUUCCUCACUGGGUUCUGUGAGGGGUAAGUGCAUCUACAGCAGUUGGAACAGUGUCUGACAGAGCAACCGUAAGUCUGUCAUUGACGCCCACCCCUAUCAACAGCAAGGUGCCUUCUUUCUCUUUUAUUGGGAAGCAGCACUGGAUGAAGAUUUUCUGGAUACUGACGGUGGUGAUGAUGAACAUGAUGCUUCCUGAUCACCUGCUGUGCUCAGCCCUCAUUACCUACCCGAUUUUCCUCAGUUUCCCUACUUGUAAAAUGGGGCUGAUAAUAACACUUUGAGCAUCAAGCUCAAAGUGUUCUUGAGAAGACUAAAAAAUUAACCCCCAGGGCUUCCCUGGUGGGUCAGUGGUGAAGAAUCUGCCUGCCAAAGCAGGGGACACAGGUUUGAUCCCUGAUCCGGGAAGAUCCCACAUGGAGGAGCUGCUACACCCGUCAGCCACAACUAUUGAGCCUGUGCUCCAGAGCCUGGAAGCUCCAACUACUGAGCCUAUGUGCAGCAACUACUGAAACCCACACACCCAGAGCCUGUGCUCUGCAGCAAGAGAAACCACCACACUGAGAAGCUACUGCAAAGAGAAGUCCGCGCACUGCAACCAGAGAGUAGCCCCCAGCUCUCCGCAGAUAGAGGAAAGCCCAGGCAGCAACAAAGACCGAACACAGCCCCCCACCGAAAAAAGUAUUCGUAGUGAUAAGGAUGGUAUUAAAAACAAAAAACAAAAAAACCCUCCCAGACAUGAUGCUUAGCUCAGUACCUGGCACUAGGAAGUGGCCAAGUACUACAGCUGUAGGAUCAGAGAGAAAAUCACAAUCACGUAGCCCAUUGAGUGGCUCCAGUAAAGAAUGGCUUUCAUGAACACUGCUCUGCCUGUUCUGAGUGCUACCUUAGCCAGUGGGGUGUGGACACUGGUGUAAAAUUACAACUGAGGAGGCCCCCACCCUAGCGGAGAGGUGCAUCUGGUGAGAAUGGAAGUUCACUUUGUUCCUACCUCUGCACGUCCCCUCACUCCGGAACCGGGUGACCUUCUUGAGAAGCCGGACAUCUCCCGCCUAGCUUCCUUUCACCGAGGCGGUGAGCACAGAACGCGGGGACCCCAGAGGACUUGGGAGUUCGCGAGCCGCAAUGCCCGCUUCGAGCGGCAGGGG